CACCUCGGGUGACAGGGAGACAGGUGGUGCAUGGUUGUCGUCAGCUCGUGUCGUGAGAUGUUGGGUUAAGUCCCGCAACGAGCGCAACCCCUACGUUUAGUUGCUAACGCGUGAAGGCGAGCACUCUAGACGAACUGCCGUUGACAAACGGAGGAAGUGGGAUGACGUCAAAUCAUCAUGCCCCUUAUGUUCUGGGCUACACACGUGCUACAAUGGCCGGUACAGACGGACGCAAAGCCGCGAGGUGGAGCAAAUCCUAAAAAGCCGGUCUCAGUUCGGAUUGCAGGCUGCAAUUCGCCUGCAUGAAGUCGGAAUCGCUAGUAAUCGCAGGUCAGCAUACUGCGGUGAAUACGUUCCCGGGCCUU
RNAcentral lists this ribosomal RNA (365 nucleotides) under uncultured Pelotomaculum sp. RNAcentral's name for it is "bacterial SSU rRNA". It matches the Rfam family "Bacterial small subunit ribosomal RNA", at positions 1016 to 1382 of the family's 1533-position model. Lineage: Bacteria; Bacillati; Bacillota; Clostridia; Eubacteriales; Desulfotomaculaceae. The record is from RNAcentral.